UCUACUGCAGUUUUUCUACCCUUUCACAAAGUUGAGAAGAAAUAGUUUGGAGAGAAGAAACCGAGAGUUGAGGGAAAAAAAAGGAGUGAGGCAGCGACGAUUGAGAAAGAAAAUAGACGAUGUUAGGAGCGUGACGGCUCCCGUUCAACCGAACGCAGCGGCGGCGAGGCUGCUGAACGACGUGCUGGAGGAAGGCGGCGCCGACUCUGUGCUGGCAGCAGCGACCACGGCUGCACGGCGGCGCGAUCCAGCAAUAGCAUCAGCGAAACUUGCUUACGAACAGGGAUGGUGAUUGUUUUAAACUGCGAACUACCCCGAUUGGGCAGGAGAUCGACGACGCUGGUUGAGAGAGGGAUGAAGGGGAUAGACGGAGGCGCAGCUGAGCUUGUCAAGCUCACUGCCCGAUGAAAAGAACGGUGGCAGCGGCGGUGCCGAGUUUUGAAAGAGAUCGGAAUCUGUUUUGGAGACUGCGUGAGCAAGAGAGAGAUUGAGAGUUCUAUUUUGAGGUGAUUUCCGAAUGGUGGCAGCGACGAGGCGGUGCUGCUCAAGAGUCACGAAUGGCAGCAAUCGGGCACCGAGCAGCAGGGGCUCAUGGCGGAAUCACGAGCGUCGGCACAUAGUGACAGCACUGGCCAUGGCGGCAGCUAUCGGCUCGACGGAGAGACUGCGGCGCUGUAAAAUCAGAAAGAGGAGAUGAAGGUAGAAGCAAGACGGAGAGAGUAGACGACGGAGGAGAGAAACAAGUGAAAGGGGGAGGAAGAUUUGAGAUUGCAGGCACUAACAAAUUGAGAGAUGGGAGUUCACGUAAGGAGAUGGAUUGGAGUACUUGGUAUGAGCCAAAAUAAUUAAAUGAAGAUUGGGCCGGAGUAUACUAAACCAAUAGGUGACUUCAUGCACGCUUUUCGAGAAUGAAACGUAAAGAAGAAUUAAGAAGCUAAAUGAACGAGGUUGAGCUGUGACGAGCGCGGUGGGUGUUGAGCAUAAAAGUGAAGAAGAUGUUUAUCAAAUGUUAGGAAUAUGUUGUGUCUUCAUACAUGACAUUAUUCUACUCUCGAAUGCUUCCGCUAAAUAGUAUUUCUUUUCAGUUCAAGUAUUGUUGAGAUAAUAUUCAUUCUGAGUUGUUGAUUGUUGAAGUGAUACUCUGAUU
This is a long non-coding RNA of Salvia hispanica, 1147 nucleotides long. RefSeq lists it as uncharacterized. NCBI's taxonomy places the organism in Eukaryota, Viridiplantae, Streptophyta, Magnoliopsida, Lamiales, Lamiaceae. The record is from RefSeq and is a predicted model, not a curated record.